GGAUUGUGGCUCAGUGGUAGAGCACUCACCUAGCAUACGCAGGGCCCUGGGUUCGAUUCUCAGCACCA
This 68-nucleotide transfer RNA is filed under the name Marmota monax (woodchuck). Its description in RNAcentral is "tRNA.Undet". The record is from RNAcentral. Lineage: Eukaryota; Metazoa; Chordata; Mammalia; Rodentia; Sciuridae.